UACAGAGGAUGCAAGCGUUAUCCGGAUUGAUUGGGCGUAAAGCGUUCGUAGGUUGCUUUCCAAGUCACCUGUUAAAGGUCAGAGCUCAACUUUGGCUUUGCAUGUGAAACUCGAAGGCUAGAGUACGGUAAAGGUAGUGGGAAUUCCCGGUGUAGCGGUGAAAUGCGUAGAGUUCGGGAAGAACACCAGAAGCGAAGGCGCGCUACUGGGUCGAUACUGACACUGAAGAACGAAAGCUAGGGUAGCGAAUGGG
This 253-nucleotide ribosomal RNA is filed under the name uncultured bacterium. Its description in RNAcentral is "partial 16S ribosomal RNA". It matches the Rfam family "Bacterial small subunit ribosomal RNA", at positions 524 to 776 of the family's 1533-position model. The record is from RNAcentral.